AAACGCUUGCAUCAGUAUUUACAACGUAAACAAUGGCAUCCGAUGAUUACAAUACCUGGUCUGUUUCAGAACUAACGUUACGUGGAGCUGUCACAAGAGACAGAAAUAUAGAUCUUAUAGAAAGAAUCAAUUAGAAGAGCCAAAAUUUAUAAGCUUAGAUUCAAAACAUUCUGGAGGAGCAGAUUGUGUGAAGAAGCCAGCAGAAGUCAAGAGAAAUAAAAAGAAUGGAACAAAAGAAAAAUUGAAAAAGAACAGUGAAAUGACAAAAUUAAAUAAAAAUUUUGCAUUUCUUA
Long non-coding RNA from Mytilus californianus (California mussel), 293 nucleotides. RefSeq lists it as uncharacterized. The record is from RefSeq and is a predicted model, not a curated record. NCBI's taxonomy places the organism in Eukaryota, Metazoa, Mollusca, Bivalvia, Mytilida, Mytilidae. The transcript has 3 exons.